UGACGCGUUGCCCUGCUCUUUCUUCGAAUUAAGGCUCGUGGACUGCUUGUUCUCGUUACCUCUGUGACAUCUGUCAAGCAGACACUGACGAAGAAAUCUUACGUGCACCGAGAAGGCCCCGGGCUCCGUGGCAGCAGGUGGUGCGCGCGAUAUUUGUCCUCUGCACGGGCUCGCUCUGUACCGUGCACACACAAAUACAGGUGCUCGCAAACGUGCCGUCUGCCGUUUCCGAUCUUGCUUGAUUCUGUCAGCCCUGACGAGCACCUCAUCACGUCGCCACAGCUCUACACUUCGUUGUUGUCUUGACUUUAGAAUUCACGCACGACACAGCGUUGCACGCACGUCACGUCAUCCACGUUACGAAAUCUGGCAGUAAAGAAAGCGCAGAACGCGCCAAAAAUGAGCGAGACAGACAGCAUGUGGCUCCAGAAGAGCAUAACCCUACCUGACCCGAUCCCAGAAGAGGAGGACAGGGCAGACGCACCGACACCAGUGCUUGUCCCCGCUACUGCCCGCACGCUGCCAUCCACCAACACUGAGGCGUCGCCGCAGGAUGCCAUGCUGCCUCCGCCCCCGCCCGCCUUGGAGAAGAAGACCACCGCUGGAGUGGAGAUUGACUUGACGAAGAUGGUGCUGGAUACGAGCAGCUUCCUGCGCGCGUCUGCGCAGCGCCCGUCGAUGCGGUACCCGAGUCGGGCCUCUGUCUCCAACUCCGCGUUCAUCUCGGCGCAGGAGUACGACGACCUGCGUGCGCGCUACAGCCAGGCGAAGCGGGAGCUGCUGAAAGUGUCUGACAUUCAGAAGGACCUCGACUUUGCGCGUUUUGAGCUCACGCGCUCCCAGGAGGAGAUGAAGCUGCUGCAAGCGAGCAACCACAACCUCAAAAACGAGGUGGAGGAGUAUGCGCAGCGGGCCGAAAAGGAGCACAAGGCGCGCAUGUCUCUGGAGGCGAAGAUGUCGGCCGAGGGCGCCACUCGCGCGGAGGAGGUGGAGUUCUUGAAGAAGACAAUCGACGAACUGCGCGAGGAGAACGCAAAGCGACUCGAUUACAUGACACAGCAGCAGGAGGAUGAGUUUCAGGCGCGGCUGCAGUCCAUGCGGGAGGAGCUGGCAGGCGCGGCAGAGGAGCUGGCGCGGCUCACCGCGAAGGCGACGCAGGCAGAGAAGGCUCGCGAGCUGUCGGAGUCGAAGCUCACCACCGCACUUGCGGACUUGGAAAAGUCGCGUGCCGUGGUGGGCGAUUGCAAGGCGCGAAUUGAUGCCUUGCAGAAGGAGUGCCAUGCACUGGAGCAGCAGCACCGCGACUUUGUGCAGCAGCAGGAGCGACAGAAUGCGACGUACCUCGAGGAGCAAAAGGCUCUCAACGAGGAGCGCGUGCAUCAGGUGGCGGAGUCGAAAAAUGCGGCUAUCGCAGAGAUGCAAGAGGAGCUGCAUCUGUGGAAGGAGAGGACAAGGACAACGGCAGAGGAGCUAGCCGCGGCACGCCACGCGGCAAGCCAGCUCCAGGAAGACGUGAAACAGCUAACUGCGGAUCGUGCCAAGGAGGUGCGGCGCCUCACUGAGGAGCAUCGUCUUGCUCAGUGCGAGCUCCAACUCCAGAUGGAGGCGGCGGUCCGCGAGGCUCGGGGAAGCAAGACGUCCCUGGAGGAGGAGGCGCAGUCGCUACGUCGCCAGCUUGCGCAGGUGUCAACUGAGCUCUCAACCGUAGCUGGUGUGCUGGCGCAGCGGGAGCGGCAACUCGCCCAAGCAGAAGAGGAGCUUCUGCGCGCCAAAGACCGCUGCGUCGCGGCAGAGCAGGAAAACGCCCAGCUGGCGAGCGAUGCGCAGCUGAACGCUGAUGCGGCCGAGGAAGCUGCAGCGCGUGUGGAGCGACUAAUGAGGCAGAACUGCGACAUGGAGGAGGAGUUUUCGAAGGACCUCCGCGAGGCCAAGGAUCGCAUCCGCACCUUAGAGGCGACACUCAUGCAAAGCAAAGGCGAGCUCUCGGCGCUUCGCAAAGAGCAGAUCAAGUCUGCGGACGACGGCCUCGCCGCCACACGCGACCUUCGUGCGCAGGCAGAGGCACUGACGGAAGAGUGCACGGCGCUCAAAGCACAGGCAGGGGAGCGCCGCCGCUUUGAGGAAAUGGCGCGUGACUACUGCCAGCGCUUUGAGGCGGAGAGGACGAGGGUCGGCACGCUCGAAGCGGAGCUCAGCGCCGCCGUUGACAGGUGCGCCGCUCUGGAGGCGAAGCUGGAGGAGCUCUCGCGCCGCGUUAUUUCGCAGGCAGUGUCGCGCUCACCGAUGCAGACCCUGCACACCAACGCGACAGGCGCGUCGCUGUCCCGCCAUGGCAAGCACCGCAGUGUCUCCUCCGGUCAAUCGUACGCACCCACCGGCGGCAGUUCGAUGAAACGCGCCCGCACUGAGGACGCGCGCGUCUUCGCCAUCAGUGGGUUUGACGGAAACGACGUCCUGCUCGCCGUGAAGCAGCUCCCAAACGUGGCGAUAGCGGAGUGCAAGUCGAACAUGCCGGUGCCGUCCAACCUCACCCACCUCAUCACGAAUGGCCAGCUCACAAUCAAGCUUCUGACGGCGCUUGUGCGAGGCUGCUGGGUGCUGCCGGAGUCCUAUGUGGUGGACUCCCUGAAAGAGCAGACGUGGCUACGUGAAGAAGACUACGGCUUCCAGCACGAGGAACCGCCACUGCUGAAGAAGCGCAUCGCCCUCACGGAGGCGUUCAUGUCUUGUAAGCACUACAGCACCGCCAGUCUGUUGCUCAAGGAGGGCGGUGCGAUCCUCGUCGAUGACCCGGAGCAGGCGGACAUUCUUCUGUGCACCAACGCCGAGGCACGCAGCACCAAAAACGGGUGGAACUGGGAAAAGAUGGUGGAGAUAAUCUACCCGCUUAAGAUUCAGUAGCCACAGCGGACAAAGGCUGCGCACGGCGAUGGCACAUCUCCGCACCCUCAACACGGAGGUGUUUCGAGCGUCCCUAACAGACUCUCGUUUUGCAUCCUCGUGCCGCCCGUUUCCCCACAUGUGCCGAUGCGCAGCCAGCCCGUUUUUCAGGCAUACGCCGCGCCCGGCACACAUCAUUUAGAGUAUACUUCGAGAUUUUGUUUCUCCUCGACCAGAUUCUGUUUUCCUAGAUUCGGUUUCCGCCACACCUCGCUCACAAGUGCGGACACAUGCAUGCAAUCAUCCUGGCCGGCAUCCGGGUGGCUGUCGCCUUGUCAUUGACACGCCCUGCAUCCGUUGGCCGCUUACCUAUCCGUGUAUGUUCGCGCAUUUGCUUUGCUGCGCUUGUGAUUUUCAUACACUACAGUAGAUGUCCUUAUUUUCCCAUGCCCUUGCGUCUGUAUCUGUCUGGAUGCGCCGUCGAGCUAUCACCGCUGGCAUGGUCUCUUUCUUUUUUUUUUCUUUGUGGUCAUCUCUCCUUCGUUGGUGCAGCGGCAAAGAGGAAGGAACGCAGCCGGGGCGAUGCCGAUGGCGGGUCGCCGCUGCGCGCGCUUUCUCCUCAGCCUUUGCCCUUGCCAUGCAUGGGAGUUGCUGUGAGUGGACCACUACCGAUCGCCCAAGCAGCCGUUCCCAGAAAAACGCUGCCAUCAGUCACGCCACAGUGCACUCCACGCGAUAUACUCCACAGUUGACUACACAAACACACCCACACACGCGCACGAAGAUGUGCUAGCCGUAAGUCUGCCAUGAGCUCCUUUUGAGGUUUAUGUUUUACCCUUUUCUACACAUGUUGCUGUCGCUAGGCGCGUCAGCACCUUGCGCCGAAGCACGCGCACACACACGUGCACCAAUACUCACCGUAGGUGCACGUGGACGGAAACCCCGCGUGCGUUUCACAUCGACGCUGCGAAGCAGCAUUGCAUCGUUUAGGGUCGACUCUGUGAUGACUCGGCCACGCAAGCGCCCCAGAGAAGAGGGAAUCUUCUCUUGUUCUCCAGGAAAAGCUGAAAGCCACCGCUGCUGUGGGGACGGGGAGGAGCUGUGCACGCACGCUUUGCU
Molecule: unclassified non-coding RNA, 3999 nt
Filed under: Leishmania donovani
Lineage: Eukaryota; Euglenozoa; Kinetoplastea; Trypanosomatida; Trypanosomatidae
Description: gene:LdHU3.26.3510(CDS-product:hypothetical_prote in_conserved)
Source: RNAcentral